Apis dorsata (giant honeybee) is the source of this 270-nucleotide long non-coding RNA. RefSeq lists it as uncharacterized. The transcript has 2 exons. Lineage: Eukaryota; Metazoa; Arthropoda; Insecta; Hymenoptera; Apidae. The record is from RefSeq and is a predicted model, not a curated record.
CAUGAAGUUCCCGUGUCUACUAGCACCCGGAUCCGUCUUAUCUUCCUGCCUUUCCUUGCGCGAUGAUCGUGCCUCUUCCCCCGACAUUUUAGAAUAUCUGAAAUUCGGGACACGUGGCUCCAGAUGAUCGAAGGAUACCUUACAAGGGACAAGGUGCCGUAACUCAUAUCGCCACUCGCAUUCUUUUCUCGAUUCAUCGCUUAACGUGCAUCUCUAACGAGUUGGAAAAUUAUUUCGAGCAUCCCAUGCCCGAGUUAUUUCACUUAAAAA